UCUUCUACGGGGCGCAGCAGUGAGGAAUAUUGGUCAAUGGGCGGGAGCCUGAACCAGCCAAGUCGCGUGAAGGAAGAAGGUACUUAGUAUUGUAAACCUCUUUUGUCAGGGAACAAAGGCGGGGACGUGUCCCCGGAUGAGUGUACCUGAAGAAAAAGCAUCGGCUAACUCCGUGCCAGCAGCCGCGGUAAUACGGAGGAUGCGAGCGUUAUCCGGAUUUAUUGGGUUUAAAGGGUGCGCAGGCGGUCUGUUAAGUCAGCGGUCAAAGCCCGGGGCUCAACCCCGGCCCGCCGUUGAAACU
This 301-nucleotide ribosomal RNA is filed under the name uncultured bacterium. Its description in RNAcentral is "bacterial SSU rRNA". It matches the Rfam family "Bacterial small subunit ribosomal RNA", at positions 335 to 634 of the family's 1533-position model. The record is from RNAcentral.